Long non-coding RNA from Chelonia mydas (Green sea turtle), 804 nucleotides. RefSeq lists it as uncharacterized. The transcript is spliced from 3 exons. NCBI's taxonomy places the organism in Eukaryota, Metazoa, Chordata, Testudines, Cheloniidae. The record is from RefSeq and is a predicted model, not a curated record.
UUAAACAGAGCUGGGCCCUCAACAGUGGCAGGAAGACUGGGUUAUUAAGGGGAGCAGCUUUCUUAGGAGAGCCUCCCAGGCAGCAUGAUAGGUUCCUGUGGAUGAGUUCUGAGGUAGUGCCCAAAGGGAAUUGAAGUCAGGCCUGGGAGGGGUGAAGGAGCUGCUGUAUGUGAAGUUGAGCUCAGGAGAGUGAAGAACCUAUUUUUAGAGGUGACUAUUGGAAGGGGACUGAGCUGUUGUGUGAUUUGGCUGGAGGGCUGAGACCCUGAAGCCCUUGUGAGGAAGUCUGGGGAGGAGAUCAGCUGGGUGUGAUUGCUCUGGCAACCAAUUGGUGGGUGAGGCAAAGAACCCUGCAAUGCCAUGUCCAGAUGUGAAGAGGUGACCUAGAGGGGAUGAGCCAUAUCCGCUCUCAGAAACUGUCACGACUGAUGGAUUGAUUUAAAAUCGCAGCAGAGAACCACAGAAGAAUGUGAAGAGAGCAGGCCAACGUAUCCUUGAAUGGCAGGGGCCAGGGCCAGCAAGGACCAGGUGUCACAGGGUUUUGGAGUGGUCACUUCUAAUACAAUGACGAUCCAGCCAGAGAGGCCUGCAGCAUCCAGAUUGCAGGUGCCUGUCCCAGCAUCUCUCCUGUGACAGCAAGCAAAGGUCUAAUGGAGUCUGGACACUUAAUGAGGUGUGGAAAAGCUAUUGUCUUCCCCGUGAAACUUCCUUUUCUAUUGGCUUGGCUGGUAGUUUCUGGCCUAAGGUCUCUGGUUGAUGGCACAGGGACAUGUGUCCCAAGCUGGUGCCCUAUUGAGGACCACU